RNAcentral lists this ribosomal RNA (790 nucleotides) under Microbacterium sp. WBQ_11S. RNAcentral's name for it is "bacterial SSU rRNA". It matches the Rfam family "Bacterial small subunit ribosomal RNA", at positions 692 to 1477 of the family's 1533-position model. The record is from RNAcentral. Lineage: Bacteria; Bacillati; Actinomycetota; Actinomycetes; Micrococcales; Microbacteriaceae.
AGAUAUCAGGAGGAACACCGAUGGCGAAGGCAGAUCUCUGGGCCGUAACUGACGCUGAGGAGCGAAAGGGUGGGGAGCAAACAGGCUUAGAUACCCUGGUAGUCCACCCCGUAAACGUUGGGAACUAGUUGUGGGGUCCAUUCCACGGAUUCCGUGACGCAGCUAACGCAUUAAGUUCCCCGCCUGGGGAGUACGGCCGCAAGGCUAAAACUCAAAGGAAUUGACGGGGACCCGCACAAGCGGCGGAGCAUGCGGAUUAAUUCGAUGCAACGCGAAGAACCUUACCAAGGCUUGACAUAUACGAGAACGGGCCAGAAAUGGUCAACUCUUUGGACACUCGUAAACAGGUGGUGCAUGGUUGUCGUCAGCUCGUGUCGUGAGAUGUUGGGUUAAGUCCCGCAACGAGCGCAACCCUCGUUCUAUGUUGCCAGCACGUAAUGGUGGGAACUCAUGGGAUACUGCCGGGGUCAACUCGGAGGAAGGUGGGGAUGACGUCAAAUCAUCAUGCCCCUUAUGUCUUGGGCUUCACGCAUGCUACAAUGGCCGGUACAAAGGGCUGCAAUACCGUGAGGUGGAGCGAAUCCCAAAAAGCCGGUCCCAGUUCGGAUUGAGGUCUGCAACUCGACCUCAUGAAGUCGGAGUCGCUAGUAAUCGCAGAUCAGCAACGCUGCGGUGAAUACGUUCCCGGGUCUUGUACACACCGCCCGUCAAGUCAUGAAAGUCGGUAACACCUGAAGCCGGUGCCUAACCCUUGUGGAGGGAGCCGUCGAAUAUGGAUCCGAAAUUUUCC